AUAUACCAAAAGUAAACCUGCUGAAAGGUAGGGACACAAAGCCAUAGGGUCUAAAACUAUUAAAAGUAUGAUAGCCUGGCUGCAAGG
Molecule: non-coding RNA, 87 nt
Filed under: Butyrivibrio sp. TB
Lineage: Bacteria; Bacillati; Bacillota; Clostridia; Lachnospirales; Lachnospiraceae
Description: GEMM cis-regulatory element
Rfam family: c-di-GMP-I riboswitch aptamer
About the family: GEMM was predicted in a large-scale screen for bacterial structured RNA regulatory elements. Genes associated with GEMM are involved in a diverse array of functions, including chemotaxis regulation, signal transduction, secretion and chitin.
Source: RNAcentral